RNAcentral lists this ribosomal RNA (704 nucleotides) under Saprolegnia sp. UNCW271. Its description in RNAcentral is "eukaryotic LSU rRNA". It matches the Rfam family "Eukaryotic large subunit ribosomal RNA", at positions 39 to 645 of the family's 3401-position model. The record is from RNAcentral. Lineage: Eukaryota; Oomycota; Saprolegniomycetes; Saprolegniales; Saprolegniaceae. RNAcentral also lists the same sequence under 1 other name.
CAUAUCAUUAAGCGGAGGAAAAGAAACUAACAAGGAUUCCCCUAGUAACGGCGAGUGAAGCGGGAAGAGCUCAAGCUUAAAAUCUCCAUGUUUACAUGGCGAAUUGUAGUCUAUUGAGGCUGUUGUCAGCAUAGCGAUCUGGGACAAGUCCCUUGGAAAAGGGCAGCAUGGAGGGUGAUACUCCCGUCUCUGCUCAGAUUGUCUGUGUGUACGAUACGCUUUCUUUGAGUCGAGUUGUUUGGGAAUACAGCUCAAAGUAGGUGGUAAAUUCCAUCUAAAGCUAAAUAUUGGUGCGAGACCGAUAGCGAACAAGUACCGUGAGGGAAAGAUGAAAAGAACUUUGAAAAGAGAGUUAAAGAGUACCUGAAACUGUUGAAAGGGAACCGUAUCGUUUCCAGUGUUGUAUCCUGUGCAUAUUUCAUUAGCGGAGUAAUUUGCUGGUGCCCUGUGCAUGGGUGUGACGUCAGAGUCAGUUUGUAUGCUGCGGGAGAUGGUCAGUAAGGAGGUGCGUCACUUCGGUGAAAGUUAUAUCUUGCUGUCUAGUAGCCGUGGUUGAGACUGAGGUGCCUACAACAUGCCUUGGGGUUCAGUGUUGUCUCGUUUUGGUGACUGCUUGGAUAGCUUGCUAUGUCUGCGGUUAAUCAGGGCGAUUGAUGAUGUUGAUAACCUCUGCUGUUCGGGACUCUGGCGAAAUGGAGCGAUAC